RNAcentral lists this ribosomal RNA (494 nucleotides) under uncultured bacterium. Its description in RNAcentral is "bacterial SSU rRNA". It matches the Rfam family "Bacterial small subunit ribosomal RNA", at positions 16 to 507 of the family's 1533-position model. The record is from RNAcentral.
AUCCUGGCUCAGAUUGAACGCUGGCGGCAUGCCUUACACAUGCAAGUCGAACGGCAGCACGGGGCAACCUGGUGGCGAGUGGCGAACGGGUGAGUAAUGCAUCGGAACGUGCCAUUGAGUGGGGGAUAACGUAGCGAAAGUUGCGCUAAUACCGCAUAUUCUGUGAGCAGGAAAGCAGGGGACCGCAAGGCCUUGCACUCUUUGAGCGGCCGAUGUCAGAUUAGCUAGUUGGUGAGGUAACGGCUUACCAAGGCGACGAUCUGUAGCGGGUCUGAGAGGAUGAUCCGCCACACUGGAACUGAGACACGGUCCAGACUCCUACGGGAGGCAGCAGUGGGGAAUUUUGGACAAUGGGCGCAAGCCUGAUCCAGCCAUGCCGCGUGAGUGAAGAAGGCCUUCGGGUUGUAAAGCUCUUUCGGCCGGGAAGAAAUCGCAUGGGUUAAUACCCUGUGUGGAUGACGGUACCGGAAUAAGAAGCACCGGCUAACUACGUG